CUCCAGAAAUUACCACGUCCACGCCUUUUUCCCGCCGUUGGUCAAAAUUUCCCUCCCUCUUUGUUUUUAGCCUGUUACCCCCACCGUCGCCGCGCCGCUGGCCGAUGAUUAUUCCCGCUGCCAUUAACGCCCUCAAAUCCUCAAGGUCAAUUUCUUGGACGCCGACGGGUAGGCUUCAGCAGACCUUGGCGGGAUGUCUGGAGCUGAGUGGAAUGGCUCUGCACUCGGGCAAGGUUUCGAAGGUGAAAUUGUGUCCGGAUUUUGCGGGCAGAGGGAGGUAUUUUGAUUUCAAGUCUCGUUUCAUUCCUGCAUCUAUUGAUUUUGCCGAAGAGUCGCCUCUUUGUACCACGCUCUCUAAGGAUGGGGUUAAAGUUCGAACGGUUGAGCACUUGCUUUCCGCGCUGGAGGCCAUGGGGGUCGACAAUUGCAGGAUUGAGAUAGAAAAUGUGGAUGCUGAAGACAGUGAAGUCGAGGUUCCAAUCUUUGAUGGUUCUGCGGGUGAAUGGGUGGAUGCAAUAGAGAAGGUCGGUCUUAGGUUGGCUGUUGACCAGUGUGGCAAUUGUUGUGAGAAAAUGGCACCAUCGGUAAAUGAACCCGUCCAUGUGUGGAGGAAUGACUGUUUUCUUGUUGCUUUCCCAGCUGAAGCAGUUCGCAUCACUUAUGGAAUUGACUUUCCUCAGGUGCCUGUCAUUGGCUGCCAGUGGUUUUAUACUGCCCCUUUGGACAGCAUGUUCUAUGUCAAACAGAUAGCUCCGUCAAGAACCUUUUGCAUUUACGAAGAGGUAGAGCAAAUGCGUAAUAUGGGACUCAUAAAAGGAGGCUCUACAGAAAAUGCUUUAGUUUGUAGUGCCAGUAGAGGUUGGAUCAAUCCCCCAUUGCGUUUCCAUGAUGAACCCUGUCGCCACAAGGUUUUAGAUCUUAUUGGCGACCUCUCACUUUUUGCACGGUUUGGUAGUCAAGGGCUUCCGAUGGCACACAUAGUGGUUUACAAGGGUGGUCAUGCUAUGCAUGCCAAUUUUGUACACCGCCUAUCGGAAGUCAUUUGAGAGGAUGAGUAGCUGUCUUUCCUUGUAGGAGUGUAAGAAUUUUCUGCAAUUGAGCAGCAUAAAAGGAACCAGCAGCCAAACGUUAUGGCUGCAUAUCAGGAAGCGGAUCUCCAGCUGGAUUCCUCCAUUGUAGUCAUCCGGCGGUUCUUCCAUGAUGAUUGGUUUAAGAUUACCAGAGCCCUUCAAACACAUAUAAGCACUCUUUGUACUCUUAACCCUUUCACUACUGACAAGGCUCUCCUCCGAUGUGAAAACAGAGAAUUACUGUUUUCCUGCAAAAACCUCAACUUUGAGUUCUUCGCAGGAGUCCACAAGUUUCUCAGUUUAUUCUACCUUCAUCAGUUGACACUCGAAUGCAUGCACGUCGAGGAGGACGAU
Non-coding RNA from Momordica charantia (bitter melon), 1424 nucleotides. The record is from RefSeq and is a predicted model, not a curated record. NCBI's taxonomy places the organism in Eukaryota, Viridiplantae, Streptophyta, Magnoliopsida, Cucurbitales, Cucurbitaceae.